UCCUCCCUCUGGCGGCGUGCUUAACACAUGCAAGUCGAACGGAAAGGCCCUGCUUUUGUGGGGUGCUCGAGUGGCGAACGGGUGAGUAACACGUGAGUAACCUGCCCUUGACUUUGGGAUAACUUCAGGAAACUGGGGCUAAUACCGGAUAGGAGCUCCUGCUGCAUGGUGGGGGUUGGAAAGUUUCGGCGGUUGGGGAUGGACUCGCGGCUUAUCAGCUUGUUGGUGGGGUAGUGGCUUACCAAGGCUUUGACGGGUAGCCGGCCUGAGAGGGUGACCGGCCACAUUGGGACUGAGAUACGGCCCAGACUCCUACGGGAGGCAGCAGUGGGGAAUAUUGCACAAUGGGCGGAAGCCUGAUGCAGCAACGCCGCGUGCGGGAUGACGGCCUUCGGGUUGUAAACCGCUUUCGCCUGUGACGAAGCGUGAGUGACGGUAAUGGGUAAAGAAGCACCGGCUAAGUACGUG
Molecule: ribosomal RNA, 468 nt
Filed under: uncultured bacterium
Lineage: Bacteria
Description: partial 16S ribosomal RNA
Rfam family: Bacterial small subunit ribosomal RNA
Source: RNAcentral